RNAcentral lists this ribosomal RNA (231 nucleotides) under uncultured bacterium. RNAcentral's name for it is "partial 16S ribosomal RNA". It matches the Rfam family "Bacterial small subunit ribosomal RNA", at positions 107 to 334 of the family's 1533-position model. The record is from RNAcentral.
UGAGUAACACGUAUGCAAUCCACCUGUAACAGGGGGAUAACCCGGAGAAAUCCGGACUAAUACCCCAUAAUAUGGGCGCUCCGCAUGGAGAGCCCAUUAAAGAGAGCAAUUUUGGUUACAGACGAGCAUGCGCUCCAUUAGCCAGUUGGCGGGGUAACGGCCCACCAAAGCGACGAUGGAUAGGGGUUCUGAGAGGAAGGUCCCCCACAUUGGAACUGAGACACGGCCCAG